This is a long non-coding RNA of Bos taurus (domestic cattle), 1000 nucleotides long. The record is from Ensembl. Lineage: Eukaryota; Metazoa; Chordata; Mammalia; Artiodactyla; Bovidae.
GGACCAGGGCGUCUGCGCCUGCGCGGAGCAAGGGGCGGAGCGGGGUCACACAUCCAGGCCCUGUGCAUGAAACAAAACAGUGAAAACCCGUCUGUGGGAAGCUGACAUUGGGUGGAGAGGGGCCGACAGUCAACAAGAGAACAUGUUCGUAGAGGAGGGUGCCGAGGAGGAAACAGCCCGGGAGCUGAGGGGCUGCUAGAAAGUGCACUUGAGUGGAGACCCGAAGGGGAGCCGAGGGUCGAGCAACGGAACCGCCUUUGAGAUGGUGCAGAUGGCCCGCAGGGUUGGGGGUACAGAACCAAUAGGAUAUGUUCAGGAGACGGGACAAACCACGAGCGUGGCGUGGCCUGAGCCAGCGGACCGGAGAGAGGCCAUCCGAGUCUACAAGGACUCCUGCCCCGCCCCUUGGACCUCCAAAAGUUCUCCCGGAGUAGGGCGCCACCUGGCUGCUGCUGCGCGCACCAUUAGCUGCGUAGGAAAAGGUGUUCCCCUUGCGGUAUUAAUCUGCAUUGUCCCCUAAUCACACGUGUAGUUUAUUUACAAAGCCAGAUGGCAAUGCUUGCCCACCCCGACACCACACCCAUCACCACUUCUACCAGGGCCUCUUCACCCAGCAGGGUGGAGGGCCUCACAGUCUUGGUACCCGCAUUUUGCACCUGCAGGGGCCUGGAGGCUCCAAAACUGUACUUGUACAAGUUCAGGGUCAAACAACUCCUUUCCAAAAAGGGGCAAAUUUGCUCUAAGGUACCCCUCUAUAUGGGGCUUCCCUGUAGCUCAGUCGGUAAAAAAUCUGCCUGUAGUGCAGGAGACCCAGGUUCAAUCCCAGGGUUGGGAGGAGCCCCUGGAGAAGGAAAUGGCAAUCCACUCUAGUAUCCUUGCCUGGAAAAUCUCAUGGACAGAGGAGCCUGGUGGGCUGCGGUCCAUGGGGUCCCAAAAAGUUGGGCCCAACUAAGUGACUUAGUUACCCCUCUAUAUACACUUUGAAUUCAAUGUGAAAAAC